This 810-nucleotide ribosomal RNA is filed under the name uncultured bacterium. RNAcentral describes it as "bacterial SSU rRNA". It matches the Rfam family "Bacterial small subunit ribosomal RNA", at positions 681 to 1503 of the family's 1533-position model. The record is from RNAcentral.
GUGAAAUGCGUAGAUAUCCGGAGGAACACCAAAGGCGAAGGCACUGUCCUGGCUAUUUCCUGACGCUGAGGGGCGAAAGCGAGGGGAGCGAACGGGAUUAGAUACCCCGGUAGUCCUCGCCGUAAACGAUGACCACUAGAGGUUCGGGGUAUCGACCCCCUGAGUCUCGUAGCCAACGCGAUAAGUGGUCCGCCUGGGGAGUACGGUCGCAAGAUUAAAACUCAAAGGAAUUGACGGGGACCCGCACAAGCAGCGGAGCGUGUGGUUUAAUUCGAUGCAACGCGAAGAACCUUACCAGGAUUUGACAUGGCUCUGAGCAUCGUGGAGACACGAUUUCCUUCGGGACAGAGUCACAGGUGCUGCAUGGCUGUCGUCAGCUCGUGCCGUGAGGUGUUGGGUUAAGCCCCGCAACGAGCGCAACCCUCGUGGGUAGUUGGAUAUGUCUACCCAGACUGCCACGAUCAACGUGGAGGAAGGUGGGGAUGACGUCAAGUCAGCACGGCCCUUACAUCCUGGGCGACACACACGCUACAAUGGCACGGACAAAGAGUUGCGAACCCGCGAGGGGGAGCCAAUCUCGGCAAACCGUGUCUCAGUUCAGAUUGGAGGCUGCAACCCGCCUCCAUGAAGUCGGAGUUGCUAGUAACCGUGAGUCAGCACAUCACGGUGAAUACGUUCCCGGGUCUUGUACACACCGCCCGUCACACCACGAAAGUCGGCAACCCCUGAAGCCGCUGGGCUAACUCGCAAGAGAGGCAAGCGUCGAGGGUGGGGUCGGUGAUUGGGGUGAAGUCGUAACAAGGUAACCGU